CGCUGGCGGCAUGCCUAAUACAUGCAAAUCGAACGAAGCCUUUUAGGCUUAGUGGUGAACGGGUGAGUAACACGUAUCCAACCUACCCUUAAGUUGGGGAUAACUAGUCGAAAGAUUAGCUAAUACCGAAUAAUAACAUCAAUAUCGCAUGAGAAGAUGUAGAAAGUCGCGUUUGCGACGCUUUUGGAUGGGGGUGCGGCGUAUCAGAUAGUUGGUGAGGUAAUGGCUCACCAAGUCAAUGACGCGUAGCUGUACUGAGAGGUAGAACAGCCACAAUGGGACUGAGACACGGCCCAUACUCCUACGGGAGGCAGCAGUAGGGAAUUUUUCACAAUGGGCGCAAGCCUUAUGAAGCAAUGCCGCGUGAACGAUGAAGGUCUUAUAGAUUGUAAAGUUCUUUUAUAUGGGAAGAAACGCUAAGAUAGGAAAUGAUUUUAGUUUGACUGUACCAUUUGAAUAAGUAUCGGCUAACUAUGUGCCAGCAGCCGCGGUAAUACAUAGGAUGCAAGCGUUAUCCGGAUUUACUGGGCGUAAAACGAGCGCAGGCGGGUUUGUAAGUUUGGUAUUAAAUCUAGAUGCUUAACGUCUAGCUGUAUCAAAAACUGUAAACCUAGAGUGUAGUAGGGAGUUGGGGAACUCCAUGUGGAGCGGUAAAAUGCGUAGAUAUAUGGAAGAACACCGGUGGCGAAGGCGCCAACUUGGACUAU
Molecule: ribosomal RNA, 707 nt
Filed under: uncultured Ureaplasma sp.
Lineage: Bacteria; Bacillati; Mycoplasmatota; Mycoplasmoidales; Mycoplasmoidaceae
Description: bacterial SSU rRNA
Rfam family: Bacterial small subunit ribosomal RNA
Source: RNAcentral